CCCGCGGCAAGACGGAAAGACCCCGUGAACCUUUACUAUAGCUUGACACUGAACAUUGAGCCUUGAUGUGUAGGAUAGGUGGGAGGCUUUGAAGUGUGGACGCCAGUCUGCAUGGAGCCGACCUUGAAAUACCACCCUUUAAUGUUUGAUGUUCUAACGUGGACCCGUGAUCCGGGUUGCGGACAGUGUCUGGUGGGUAGUUUGACUGGGGCGGUCUCCUCCUAAAGAGUAACGGAGGAGCACGAAGGUUGGCUAAUCCUGGUCGGACAUCAGGAGGUUAGUGCAAUGGCAUAAGCCAGCUUGACUGCGAGCGUGACGGCGCGAGCAGGUGCGAAAGCAGGUCAUAGUGAUCCGGUGGUUCUGAAUGGAAGGGCCAUCGCUCAACGGAUAAAAGGUACUCCGGGGAUAACAGGCUGAUACCGCCCAAGAGUUCAUAUCGACGGCGGUGUUUGGCACCUCGAUGUCGGCUCAUCACAUCCUGGGGCUGAAGUAGGUCCCAAGGGUAUGGCUGUUCGCCAUUUAAAGUGGUACGCGAGCUGGGUUUAGAACGUCGUGAGACAGUUCGGUCCCUAUCUGCCGUGGGCGCUGGAGAACUGAGGGGGGCUGCUCCUAGUACGAGAGGACCGGAGUGGACGCAUCACUGGUGUUCGGGUUGUCAUGCCAAUGGCACUGCCCGGUAGCUAAAUGCGGAAGAGAUAAGUGCUGAAAGCAUCUAAGCACGAAACUUGCCCCGA
This 734-nucleotide ribosomal RNA is filed under the name Salmonella enterica. Its description in RNAcentral is "partial 23S ribosomal RNA". It matches the Rfam family "Bacterial large subunit ribosomal RNA", at positions 2069 to 2802 of the family's 2925-position model. Lineage: Bacteria; Pseudomonadati; Pseudomonadota; Gammaproteobacteria; Enterobacterales; Enterobacteriaceae. The record is from RNAcentral.